AUGGAGCCGAACGCCACCGUUGAGGCCGACGCCGAGGACGACUACAUGGGGGACCUGUCCCACUUCCUCCCGCCAAGCCCGCCCUCUCCCUCCAGGAGCCUCGGGGUCCGGAAGCAACCCCCCAAGCCGGCUCCGCCGGCGCGAGGGCACGCGAAGCGCGCCAAGGGGCUACCGUGGAAGGAGCGCCGGCGGCAGGAGCGCGAGAGGAGCCAGAGAGAGGAGGACGCCCGCACCUUGGCCGGGAUGGCGGAGGCCAUCCCGGAGAGCAACGUUGGGUUCAAGAUGUUGAAGCAGAUGGGAUACGACCCGGCAGCCCGCGGCGCCGGCGCCGAGCCGGUUGGAAUCGAGAUCCGCCGCUCUCGGGCCGGACUCGGGGCGGAGCCAGAUGCUUCUGUGGCGCCGCUGCCGCAGCCAUCGGAACCCAAGACGCGGGAGGAGGAAGAAAGGGAGAGGAAGCGGGAGGAGGAGAUGGUGGUGGAGCUGAGGUCGAGGAAGAGCACGCAAUGGAAGGGACGGAGGUUGGUGUGGGACUACCGCAAGGCUGAGGCGGCGCUCGCGCAGCUGGAGAACAGGGAGGUGGAGCCACCGGCCCCCGAUGGGGAGGAGAAGGAGAAGGGAGAAGAUGAAGAGGAAGAGGUGAUCACUGAAGAGGGUUUACAAACCAUAUUGGAUAAGCUGCGUGUUCAACACCACUAUUGCCUUUACUGUGGAUGCAAGAAAUGUAGGGAAAGGCUGCGUACUAUAGACCCAAAGUGGUCGGACCCUUCCCUGGACCCUGCGCAAGCGGGAGCUACAUGCACCAGUUUGAAUCAGCAGGAGCACUGGCAAAUGAAUGCCCUGGGCCUAAUGAAGAUGAUCACUGAUCCACUCUGUCAAUGGUGA
RNAcentral lists this ribosomal RNA (882 nucleotides) under Triticum aestivum (bread wheat). Its description in RNAcentral is "partial small subunit ribosomal RNA". The record is from RNAcentral. Lineage: Eukaryota; Viridiplantae; Streptophyta; Magnoliopsida; Poales; Poaceae.